CUCUUUUGCAUAGCAUUUGUAGACAUGAAGUCCCUUUGUGCUAUCUUAGCUCUUUUCUCUCUUCUUUUGGUAAGUAUUUGUAUAAUACCCUUCUUCCUAUUGUUGCUUAUGAAGUCACCAAUUUUUAAAGCCAAGAAGUUGCUAGAUAUAUAGGACAGACAAGACAAAUGCAGCCAAAAAUCUUAUAUUAUGCUUGCAUGAAAAUAUUCUCUUAUCAGACUCUAACUUUUAUUGCCAUACUGUAAACUUAGACCGCACAUUCUAGAAAUAAUCAACUUGAUUAAUGGUUUAUAUUCACAUUCUAGCAAUAUAAACAUCUUAUAUUGCCACACAGGGUAAGAGAACAUUUCUCUUCGUAUGUCAUAUUAUAUUGUCAAAUUGUCAAUUUGAAGUGAUUUUUUGUCAAAUAUGUUAUCUAAAUUGACAGUAUAGAUUUCAACAUGAUCAUUUAGAUUAAUGCCUUAGAAAUUUCUUUUUAUUUGUUUUUAUUUUCUUUGUCUUGUGGAACAGUUUGCCAAAACAACAUAUUCAAGAAGAGAUGUCGGGAAAUACUGGAAAAAUGUCAUGAAAGAGCAACCUAUGCCACAGGCAAUUGAAGGCCUCCUUGUUGAUAUUUCUGAUUCAACACCAAAAGAGAAAGCCGACUGCCAUGAAAAAGUGAAAAAACCUUUUGUUGGGGUUGACGUUGAGGUUGAGGAAUUUGAACCAAGGCGAAAUGCUUUGGUUUACAAUGCAGUUGAAGCAAAAGAAGAUAAGCAGCCAUUUGUGAAAGACUUUGAGCCCAGGCCAAAUGCUUUGCUUUACAAUGCAUUUGCAGCAAAAGAAGAUAAGCAGCCAUUUGUGAAAGACUUUGAGCCCAGGCCAAAUGCUUUGCUUUACAAUGCAUUUGCAGCAAAAGAAGAUAAGCAGCCAUUUGUGAAAGACUUUGAGCCCAGGCCAAAUGCUUUGCUUUACAAUGCAUUUGCAGCAAAAGAAGAUAAGCAGCCAUUUGUGAAAGACUUUGAGCCCAGGCCAAAUGCUUUGCUUUACAAUGCAUUUGCAGCAAAAGAAGAUAAGCAGCCAUUUGUGAAAGAUUUUGAGCCCAGGCCAAAUGCUUUGGUUUACAAUGACUAAGAGGUUGAAUUAUUGCAAUUCUGGUGGUGUUAUUGUAAAAUAUAAGCUUGCUGGGCUUGUACGUAGCUUCUAAGCUUCUAUGUACUGAAAAAAAGAAGCCACUGGCUCUGAGAAAAGUCUAUGUUUUAUGUUGUACGUAGCUAGGUCAUGAAUGUAAUUUUCAGUUCUAAGUUAAUAAAAGGAAUGCUUUGGCCACCAUAAAUGUGGUUUUGGCAAUAGUCUCUAUUUUUGUUGUCAUGUAUUUCUAGCGUUGAACUGUAAGAAUAAUAAAU
Molecule: long non-coding RNA, 1385 nt
Filed under: Prunus dulcis (almond)
Lineage: Eukaryota; Viridiplantae; Streptophyta; Magnoliopsida; Rosales; Rosaceae
Description: sRNA ncRNA
Source: RNAcentral